Molecule: ribosomal RNA, 500 nt
Filed under: uncultured bacterium
Lineage: Bacteria
Description: partial 16S ribosomal RNA
Rfam family: Bacterial small subunit ribosomal RNA
Source: RNAcentral
AUUGAACGCUGGCGGAAUGCUUUACACAUGCAAGUCGAACGGCAGCACGGACUUCGGUCUGGUGGCGAGUGGCGAACGGGUGAGUAAUGUAUCGGAACGUGCCUAGUCGUGGGGGAUAACGUAGUGAAAAUUACGCUAAUACCGCAUACGAUCUAUGGAUGAAAGCGGGGGAUCGCAAGACCUCACGCGAUUGGAGCGGCCGAUAUCAGAUUAGGUAGUUGGGGGGGUAAAGGCCCACCAAGCCAACGAUCUGUAGCUGGUCUGAGAGGACGACCAGCCACACUGGAACUGAGACACGGUCCAGACUCCUACGGGAGGCAGCAGUGGGGAAUUUUGGACAAUGGGCGAAAGCCUGAUCCAGCCAUUCCGCGUGCAGGAUGAAGGCCCUCGGGUUGUAAACUGCUUUUGUACAGAACGAAAAGGUUUCUACUAAUACUAGGAGCUCAUGACGGUACUGUAAGAAUAAGCACCGGCUAACUACGUGCCAGCAGCCGCUGUAA